Molecule: long non-coding RNA, 1162 nt
Filed under: Nicotiana benthamiana
Lineage: Eukaryota; Viridiplantae; Streptophyta; Magnoliopsida; Solanales; Solanaceae
Description: long non-coding RNA (NBEN_LNC016059)
Source: RNAcentral
GAAUUUUGAGAGGUUGAAAAAAAAUCAAGAAUUAUCUUAGGUGUGAGGUGUGGUUUUGGAUUAAGGCAUUUUGUAACUUGUUUUCUAAUGUUUUUUGGGGUCAGUUUUGUUUUACAUUUCUUUGUAAUGAGUUGAUCUUUUUAUGUACUACUUCUGAAUGACUUAUUUUCCUUUUUAAUCUGUUCCAAAAUAAAUAAUAUAUUUUUAAAUUUGAUAAUAAUUCAAUUUUAAAUUCUUCAUUUAACAUUUUUACAUUCAAUGAGAAUCUUUUAUAGCCACACAAACGAUAUGACCUCAUAAACUUUUUACCCUUUAAAUUUAUUGAUCAUUUUAUGUAUUUGCCUAUGUCUAAGCUUACAACUCCAUAUUUCCUUUGCGAUCACAUAUGUUUUUCAAUUGGAGCAACGAUAAAGUUGUUUGUGUCACUUUGGAUUCUGCAUUUGUUUUUACCAUAUUCUUUGUGACGAUUCGAAACCUCGAAAUUUAAUUUUUUAGGGCAAAAAGGUAAUUUGAUUAGACCUAUAGGUUCGAGCCGUCAUUGCUUUUGUGUGACGAUAGCUCAUGAGUUCGAGCUGUGGAAGCAGACACUAAUAUUUGUUCUAAGGUAGGCUUACAUCACUUCCCUCGGGGGUGCGGCGGCUCUUCCUCCGACACUCCGUGAACGUGGGAUAUCUCGUGCAUCGGACAGGUCAUGAGUUCAAACUAUGAAAGCGGAUACUAAUACUUGUAUUAGGGUAGGCUUACAUCACAUCCUUUGGAAUAUUUGUUCUAAGGUAGGCUUACAUCACUUCCCUCGGGGGUGCGGCGGCUCUUCCUCCGACACUCCGUGAACGUGGGAUAUCUCGUGCAUCGGACAGGUCAUGAGUUCAAACUAUGAAAGCGGAUACUAAUACUUGUAUUAGGGUAGGCUUACAUCACAUCCUUUGGAAUAUUUGUUCUAAGGUAGGCUUACAUCACUUCCCUCGGGGGUGCGGCGGCUCUUCCUCCGACACUCCGUGAACGUGGGAUAUCUCGUGCAUCGGACAGGUCAUGAGUUCAAACUAUGAAAGCGGAUACUAAUACUUGUAUUAGGGUAGGCUUACAUCACAUCCUUUGGAGUGCAGCUUUUCCGACGCUGCACGAACGUGGAAUAUCUCGUGCAUCGGGCCCCCGGUCCUUUAGA